UAGCUGUGUUAAGUACAUUGUUGUAUGCCCU
RNAcentral lists this non-coding RNA (31 nucleotides) under Rattus norvegicus (Norway rat). Lineage: Eukaryota; Metazoa; Chordata; Mammalia; Rodentia; Muridae. The record is from RNAcentral.